CGGCCCACCGCUGGGGGCCGGGGCGCAGGAGGCAGUCUCUUGCUUGCCCGCCCCAAGGGUAGAACGAGGCCGGCGGCGCCCCCUGCCUGCCAAGGGCAGCUGGCGAGGCGCGCGGGAAGCGGCGGGCAGCCGCUGUAUCUCUGUUUCUGCGCCCACCCUCGGAUUUGCGCCUCAGAACGCGUGGACACAAAGGUGACGCCUUGGGGGCAUCCAGUCGGACCUCGCGGUAGCUCCCUACACUUUACAAAUGCCCAGAGCAGUUGCCCCCAACCUUCAGAGGUCGAAAACUCAGCGACACUUCAGACAGCCUCCCGCUACUGGGGCAUAUCAUGGAGCCACCGGUCCCAGAAACUCAAGACCUGAGAGGGUGGCGCUGCAGGCGAUGAAAUGCUCAGAAAGGGCUGGGAAUGGAGCUCCAUGGAGAGAGCCCGCUGGAGCGCAAUGCUAUCUGAGGCUUUUGGGUUACAAUUAAAAGCAAAAGGUGUCAUUUUACCCACUAAAGGCAGAACACUGUUGCGGCCUCUGCAGAACCCCAGAACAUGCAGAAUUAAUUUGCUUCGCUUGUAAAAGACAUUUUGAACGCACUUCAAAUAGCAUAUUUUCUUGUUUAUUCUUGAUUUUGGAAGGCUUGAUCCUCUUGUUUGUAACUCAAGGUUUUGGGUUGUUGUUUGAUUUUUUGUUUUUCUCUUUUGGAGAAAAGAUUUAAAUUAUCCUGCCACUCUCUUGUUUGUUUUCUGACAUUUCUUUUAACAGAUUACCAAGCAGUUUGUUUAGUGUUUUUGCUGGGUCACUAUUCCCUGUUAAUUAGUGUGAAUUAGGGAAAUACCUAGCCCCCCACCCCCACCCCCAGUGCCAAGCCAGAGGAGGCUGGUGAGCUUGCCUACCUGCAGUUGCCCUCCACAGAUUCAGACAUCGCAGAAAAUAAAAGUCCUCUAACUAUGGCCUGCAGACAAAAUGGCUGGACCAGCCCAGGCCUCACCCUGUUCAAAUUAGUCCUCAAGCUGUCUCUGCCCAAUUUAUCUGGAGGAAAGUCUCACAUAGUUCUCAUUACUGAUACAAAUUAGGAGGACUGAUUGCAGCUGGCCAGGUCCCUGCUUGAAAUCCAAAGGGAGAAUGGGAGAAGAUGCCGGCUCUUGGCUGGGUUAAAAUCAUUAUCAAAGUUCCUGGACCCCAAACUCCUCCUUCUGCCCACACUGGUGCCUCUGAACUGGGAGCUGCUCUCCAGGGUAUUGUUUGAAGUCUGCCAGGACCCCCCCCCAUAUUGGAUGGAGUGAAAACCAGAUAGAUGCUGCAAAGAAGGGUCCUCUGAGCCCUGCUCUUAAAAAAAAAAAAAAAGAAAGAAAGAAAGCAAAAGUCACUCAGCAAGACUGACAUUUCUGUGGGACUGUGAACCUUGGAGAAGGAGAUGCUUGCACCUUUAGCCAUUUCCCACGGUUUUCCUAUCAAUAAUUCCAUCCUGCUUUCCCUAUCUCUCACUCUCUUCUUCUUCCUCUACCUGUUGGAUCAGAACUAAAAAAUAAAUACAAUAAAUAAAAUUGAAGAGAUCAAAGCACAAGUAGAAAAAUGGCUUAGAUCCAAGGCUAAAUUGAAGCUACAUAUUCCUUUUCACCUAUAUUAGUUAUCAGGUUUUUUUCUUAACAAAAUGCCCCAAAAUAUAACAGCUUCAAUCUGUAAACAUUCAUCAUUUCACAUAAUUUCAGUGGGUCAAGAAAUCAGGAGAGGCUUAGCUAGGUGCUAUGUUUUGGAGCCCCCCCAGGAAGUUGCAGUCAGAUGUCAACAAAAGUUGCAGUCACCUGAGGCUUUAUGGGUUGGACAGUUCUCACAAAGUCAUCCAGAUGCUUCAUGCUGGGCAGGUGAGUGCUGAGUGUUGGGUAUGUAGUCUCAUGAACCUCUCUAUCUGGACUCUUGAGCAUGGUCACUUCAUGGCAGCUUGCUUACCUCAAAGGAGAGCCACACAGAAGGUACAGUGUCUUUUAUAACCUAGCCUUAGAAACAGCAUUAUUUCUGCAAUGCCCUAUUGUCACAUGACUGGGUCCUCUUCAACACAGAAGAGAUCUAGACAGGAAUAUGUACACCAGGAGUUAGAAAUCAUUGGAAUCCCACAUCACCUUUCUGGGAGGUGGGACUGUGAACCUUGGAGAAGGAGAUGGAUCCUUGUGAUAGGCAGCAAGCAAGAGGGAGAGAAAAGGUGCAUACUUUGUACUAGAAAAAGUAACAAGAAGAGUUCUUUUAUAAGUUCUGGAUACCAGCUCAUUUCAGAUCCAUCUCUUACUUGCCUUUUCAUUUUAAAAAUAAAAUAAAAUUAUUUUCAAAAGUA
Molecule: non-coding RNA, 2317 nt
Organism: Ictidomys tridecemlineatus (thirteen-lined ground squirrel)
Lineage: Eukaryota; Metazoa; Chordata; Mammalia; Rodentia; Sciuridae
Source: RefSeq, a predicted model, not a curated record